This 459-nucleotide ribosomal RNA is filed under the name uncultured bacterium. Its description in RNAcentral is "bacterial SSU rRNA". It matches the Rfam family "Bacterial small subunit ribosomal RNA", at positions 72 to 518 of the family's 1533-position model. The record is from RNAcentral.
CUUCCACUGAGAAGAUAGUGGCGAACGGGUGAGUAACACGUGGGUAACCCUGCCCAUAAGAGGGGGGAGUAACAUCCGGAAACGGGUGCUAAUACCGCAUAGUUUCUUGAUCGCAUGAUCGGGAAAGGAAAGACGGCCUUUGUGCUGUCGCUUAUGGAUGGACCCGCGGCGUAUUAGUUAGUUGGUGAGGUAACGGCUCACCAAGACGAUGAUACGUAGCCGACCUGAGAGGGUGGUCGGCCACAUUGGGACUGAGACACGGCCCAAACUCCUACGGGAGGCAGCAGUAGGGAAUCUUCCGCAAUGGACGAAAGUCUGACGGAGCAACGCCGCGUGAGUGAAGAAAGGUUUUCGGAUCGUAAAACUCUGUUGUCAGAGAAGAACAAGUUGGAGAGUAACUGCUCCAGCCUUGACGGUAUCUGACCAGAAAGCCACGGCUAACUACGUGCCAGCCGCCGC